CAUGGUUAUAACGGGUAACGGAGAAUUAGGGUUCGAUUCCGGAGAGGGAGCCUGAGAAACGGCUACCACAUCCAAGGAAGGCAGCAGGCGCGCAAAUUACCCAAUCCUGACUCAGGGAGGUAGUGACAAGAAAUAACAAGUCGGAGCCUUUUCAGGUUCUGUCAUUGGAAUGAGUACAAUUUAAACGCCUUAACGAGGAUCAAUUGGAGGGCAAGUCUGGUGCCAGCAGCCGCGGUAAUUCCAGCUCCAAUAGCGUAUAUUAAAGUUGUUGCAGUUAAAAAGCUCGUAGUUGGAUUUCGGAUUGUGACCACGGGUCGGCUCGCAAGAGUGUGCACGUGUGGUUGUGGUCUUUCUUUACGGAGGGUGGUGUCAGCGAUUAAGUUCGGUGGUGCCGGAUGCGCUCCGUUCGUUUACUUUGAACAAAUUAGAGUGUUUAAAGCAGGCCUUUGCCUUGAAUACAUUAGCAUGGAAUAAUGAAAUAGGACUUGCGUUUCUAUUUCGUUGGUUUCUAGGACGCGAGUAAUGAUUAAUAGGGAUAGUUGGGGGCAUUCAUAUUUAAUUGUCAGAGGUGAAAUUCUUAGAUUUAUGAAAGAUGAACUACUGCGAAAGCAUUUGCCAAGGAUGUUUUCAUUAAUCAAGAACGAAAGUUAGGGAAUCGAAGACGAUCAGAUACCGUCGUAGUCUUAACCAUAAACUAUGCCGACUAGGGAUUGGCGGAUGUUUCCUUUACGACUCCUUCAGCACCUUUAGCGAAAGCAAAGUUUUUGGGUUCCGGGGGGAGUAUGGUCGCAAGGCUGAAACUUAAAGGAAUUGACGGAAGGGCACCACCAGGAGUGGAGCCUGCGGCUUA
RNAcentral lists this ribosomal RNA (850 nucleotides) under uncultured fungus. RNAcentral describes it as "bacterial SSU rRNA". It matches the Rfam family "Eukaryotic small subunit ribosomal RNA", at positions 345 to 1192 of the family's 1831-position model. Lineage: Eukaryota; Fungi. The record is from RNAcentral.